RNAcentral lists this ribosomal RNA (451 nucleotides) under uncultured bacterium. RNAcentral describes it as "partial 16S ribosomal RNA". It matches the Rfam family "Bacterial small subunit ribosomal RNA", at positions 28 to 507 of the family's 1533-position model. The record is from RNAcentral.
GAUGAAUGCUGGCGGCGUGCCUAACACAUGCAAGUCGAGCGGCAGCGAGGGGUGCUUGCACCCUGUCGGCGAGCGGCGAACGGCUGAGUAACGCGUAGGAAUUUGCCCCAAAGUGAGGAAUAACUGCCCGAAAGGGUAGCUAAUGCCGCAUAUGGUCUUCGGAUUAAAGGAUUUAUCCGCUUUGGGAGAAGCCUGCGUUGGAUUAGGUUGUUGGUAGGGUAAUGGCCUACCAAGCCGACGAUCCAUAGCUGGUCUGAGAGGAUGAUCAGCCAGACUGGAACUGGGACACGGUCCAGACUCCUACGGGAGGCAGCAGUGAGGAAUCUUCCACAAUGGGCGAAAGCCUGAUGGAGCAACGCCGCGUGAAGGAUGAAGGCCUUCGGGUUGUAAACUUCUUUUAUGAGUGAAGAAUAUGACGGUAACUCAUGAAUAAGCACCGGCUAACUACGUG